This is a long non-coding RNA of Vicia villosa (hairy vetch), 883 nucleotides long. RefSeq lists it as uncharacterized. The transcript is spliced from 5 exons. The record is from RefSeq and is a predicted model, not a curated record. NCBI's taxonomy places the organism in Eukaryota, Viridiplantae, Streptophyta, Magnoliopsida, Fabales, Fabaceae.
CAAUGCUCUCAUUUCCCUCUUUCCAUAUGCCAAACUUUCUCUCUCUCUCUCUCUCUCUCACUAAUGAAAUGAAACCCUAGCAGAUGGAGUUUCCUCUUUGCCGUUUCUAUUCUCCUCUCAUCAAUCACCACCGGUCACCAUCACCGCCAUAACUACUCCACAACGACGAAACUCUUGUCCACCAUCGCUGACGCUUACUCACCUUCACCACCACUACUCGAACACGAAGAACAUCAUCUCCUUUUCUCACCGACCUUGACGAACACUAUUUAAGAUUUUGCAGGGAUUGUUGCGACAAACCUAUCUGUGAUUCUUUGAGAUUUGUGGUUUUUAUUUGCUGAUAUGUUGUUUUGAUAUGGACAGAGGGGUCAAGGUGAAAGUGGUAUGGAAAGAGUCAUAUAGAGCAUGGGCGGUGUAAGUGUAAGAAACUUCUGAAUUGUUGCAAGAAACCCUAUUCAAAUUGUUUUAAGCAUUCUCAAGAAUAACAAAGUUGAUUGCUGUUGCCAUGGCGUUCGUUCACCGUCGGUGUACUAAUUAUGUUCGAAUUCAGGCAAGACAAGCCAAAGGCUGUGGAGAUAUUAAGUGGUGAUUUAGAUGUGUUCCCCCACCUUCAAUUAGGAGUUAUACAAAGAAAUCACCCAGAUGUUAAUUCUUAAUGAUUUAAGACAAAAUGAUUCAAGUCAAAUGAUUCAAGUAUGGGGCAAUGUGGACCUAGUGGGGAUAGAGAUGCAAGUCCUACCAAUGUUGUUGAUGGGAAUAGCAGAGGAAAUGUUGAAGCAGGAUAGAUUUUGUUUGUCCAAGUUAAUGUUAGGUUCAUUAUUGAAUUUGAAAAUUUUAUAAUGUAAAAAUUGUAACAAGUUUUGUGAAAAAGUUAGAAAUUUUA